AAGUCGUAACAAGGUUUCCGUAGGCGAACCUGCGGAAGGAUCAUUACUGAAAAAAACUCGAGGAUGUUGCUGGCGGCCACGCACGUGCACUCCUUGAACUAUUUCUGACCCUUUCCACACCAUGUGCACCUGUUGUAGGUCUGCCGACCUAUGUUUUUCUUUUCUAAAACUCCAUCGAAUGUAUACGGAAUGUAUGAUUGCGAGGGCUCUUUAGCCCAAGUCAAUAAAGCACAACUUUCAACAAUGGAUCUCUUGGCUCUCGCAUCGAUGAAGAACGCAGCGAAAUGCGAUACGUAAUGUGAAUUGCAGAAUUCCGUGAAUCAUUGAAUCUUUGAACGCACCUUGCGCCCCUUGGUAUUCCGAGGGGCAUGCCUGUUUGAGUGUCAUUGAACCCCUCUCAACUUGACCUUUUGGGGUUGAGCUUGGAUUUGGAGAGUGCCGGCGCGUUCGGCUCCUCUGAAAAGCAUUAGCGAGCAACUCAUGCGUCUGCUUUGGCAUUGAUAAAUCUGUCUAUGCCUCUGGGCGGCACGCGUUUGGCGGUUUGCUUACGAGUGGUCCCUUUUCGAGGGACAACGUCACCCAACAAUCACCUCAAAUCAGGUAGGACUACCCGCUGAACUUAAGCAUAUCAAUAAGCGGAGGAAAAGAAACUAACAAGGAUUCCCCUAGUAACUGCGAGUGAAGCGGGAAGAGCUCAAAUUUAAAAUCUGGCGUUCUUUCGGACGUCCGAGUUGUAAUCUAGAGAAGCGNUUUCCGCGCCGGACCGUGUACAAGUCUCUUGGAAUGGAGCGUCGUAGAGGGUGACAAUCCCGUCUUUGACACGGACCGCCGGUGCUUUUGUGAUGCGCUCUCGAAGAGUCGAGUUGUUUGGGAAUGCAGCUCAAAAUGGGUGGUAAAUUCCAUCUAAAGCUAAAUACAGGCGAGAGACCGAUAGCGAACAAGUACCGUGAGGGAAAGAUGAAAAGAACUUUGAAAAGAGAGUUAAACAGUACGUGAAAUUGUUGAAAGGGAAACGAUUCAAGUCGGCCGCGUCGUCCAGUAAUCAACCCUUUGCGUAAGAGGGCUCACUUUCUGGUUUGACGGGUCAGCAUCAAUUUUGACCGUCGGAUAAAGGCGCGAGGAACGUGGCAUCUUCGGAUGUGUUAUAGCCUCUUGUCGCAUGCGACGGUUGGGAUUGAGGGUAUCGACACGCCCGCAAGGGUCGGGGCUUCUUGCCCACGUAACGUGUCUCGGAUGCUGGCAUAAUGGCUUGAACCGACC
This 1260-nucleotide ribosomal RNA is filed under the name uncultured fungus. RNAcentral's name for it is "eukaryotic LSU rRNA". The stretch from base 587 to 1260 matches the Rfam family "Eukaryotic large subunit ribosomal RNA", at positions 1 to 649 of the family's 3401-position model. Lineage: Eukaryota; Fungi. The record is from RNAcentral.